This 494-nucleotide ribosomal RNA is filed under the name uncultured bacterium. RNAcentral describes it as "partial 16S ribosomal RNA". It matches the Rfam family "Bacterial small subunit ribosomal RNA", at positions 28 to 507 of the family's 1533-position model. The record is from RNAcentral.
GACGAACGCUGGCGGCGUGCUUAACACAUGCAAGUCGAACGGUAAAGCGCCUUCCUUUUUGGUGGGUGUGGAGGCGUGGCGAACGGGUGAGUAACACGUGAGUAACCUGCCCCCUUCUACUGGAUAACCGCAUGAAAGCGUGGCUAAUACGGGAUAUCCUGGGUCUGUCGCAUGGUGGGUCUGGGACAGCUAUUGUUUCUGUGGGGGAUGCGCAGGCGGUUUAUCAGCUUGUUGGUGGGGUGAAGGCCUACGAGGGCGGUGACGGGUAGCCGGCGUGGGAGGGUGGCCGGUCAGAGUGGGACUGCGACACCGCCGAGACUGCUACGGGGGGCAGCAGCGGGGGGUAUGGAGCAGUGGGCGCAAUCGUGAUGCGGCGACGCGGCGGGAGGGAUGGCGCCCCUCGGGUGAUGAACCUCUUUCGCCAGUGAAGCGGUCCUGCCUCGUUUGUGGGUGGGUUGACGGUAGUUGGUGAAGAAGCGCCGGCUAACUACGUG